RNAcentral lists this ribosomal RNA (395 nucleotides) under uncultured bacterium. Its description in RNAcentral is "bacterial SSU rRNA". It matches the Rfam family "Bacterial small subunit ribosomal RNA", at positions 521 to 916 of the family's 1533-position model. The record is from RNAcentral.
UAAUACGGAGGGUGCGAGCGUUAAUCGGAAUUACUGGGCGUAAAGCGUGCGUAGGCGGUUUGGUCAGUCAGCCGUGAAAGCCCCGGGCUUAACCUGGGAAUGGCGGUUGAGACGGCUGGACUUGAGUGGGCUAGAGGAUCGUGGAAUUCCGGGUGUAGCGGUGAAAUGCGUAGAGAUCCGGAGGAACACCGAUGGCGAAGGCAGCGGUCUGGGGCCACACUGACGCUGAGGCACGACAGCGUGGGGAGCAAACAGGAUUAGAUACCCUGGUAGUCCACGCGGUAAACGAUGAGCACUAGACGUCGGGCGGGUGACCGUCCGGUGUCGCAGCUAACGCGCUAAGUGCUCCGCCUGGGGAGUACGGCCGCAAGGUUGAAACUUAAAUGAAUUGACGG